RNAcentral lists this ribosomal RNA (1185 nucleotides) under Triticum aestivum (bread wheat). Its description in RNAcentral is "partial small subunit ribosomal RNA". Lineage: Eukaryota; Viridiplantae; Streptophyta; Magnoliopsida; Poales; Poaceae. The record is from RNAcentral.
AUGGACGUGGCGGGGGCGCAGGCGCGCGCGCUGCCGCUCCUCCUCGGCCGGACGGCCGCCUUCCUCCGGUGCUCCGUCUCGUUCUCCUGCGGCGGCGCGCGGCGGAGCUGGGCGUCCUCCGCCACGGCGGAUGGGGAGGACGGCGGCCAAGACUACGAGCGGGUGGCCAUGGACACCCCCGGCGCGUACUGGCUCGUGGACUGGAGCACCGGGAAGAGCGUCAUCGUGUGGGGCGGCGUCGAUGACGGCGAGGAGCCCGGCGUGCCGUCCUCGGCGGUCCUCUCCAGGGUCACCGCCGACCGCUCCGCCCCCAAAGGUGCAGCAAAUGGGGGGAAUAAUGCAGGUGUCGGGAGCUUCGGAAGACUGAAGGCCCGGAAAGUGCAGGCUUUAGCUAGGAGAUCAGCAGUCCGCACAAGCAUCGCACGGCGUACAGUCCGCACAAGCAUCGCACGGCGUAGUGAAUCUUCUUAUGCUGAUUCUGAUGAAGAUGGAAGCAAAUCUGGAAGAAGGAAGUUUGUCCCCGACCCAGCACGCCGCGCAAAACAAAAUGAUGACUCUAGGGAUGAGAGGAGCAGGGCCGUGCGUUCUCUGAAUUCUGUGCUGAGGCAAUACAAAGGCGACGAUGAUUCAGAUCUUUCUGAUGAGGAGGCUGCUUUUGGCCCCAAAGUUUGGGGUAAAGUUGCCGAUGCUACGUCUUAUAGAAGAGAGGAUCGGAAGCAGAAGGUCCCUUUGGACAGUGGGUUUUUCAGCCGCAGAUCUUUUAAGGAGAUUGGCUGCGGCGAUGAGAUUCUCGGUGCAUUGAGAACCUUCGGGUUUCCUCAACCAUCACACAUUCAGGCUAUGGCAUAUGGUCCUGUCUUGGAGGGGAGGAGUUGCAUUAUUGCUGAUCAGAGUGGGUCUGGCAAGACAUUGGCAUAUCUCUGCCCUAUAGUUCAAAAUUUAAGGAAGGAAGAAGCUAUCGGGAUCCACAAACCAUCUCCCAGGAACCCACGCGUCAUAAUAUUGACACCUACUGCUGAACUUUCUUCUCAGGUCCUUCAGAAUUGCCGUUCAAUAUCGAAAUCUGGGGUUCCCUUCAGGUCAAUGGUUGCGACCGGUGGAUUUCGACAGAAGCAACUGGAAAGCCUUGAUCAAGAGCUAGAUGUACUUAUAGCAACGCCUGGCCGUUUCUUGUAUCUGCUUUAG